CUUUUGAUGAUAAUUUAAGGUCUGGCCUGCCCACUGAUAAAUUAAAUGGCCGCGGUAAUUUGACCGUGCAAAGGUAGCAUAAUCAUUAGUUUUUUAAUUGAAAGCUGGAAUGAAAGGUUGGAUGAGAAAAUAACUGUCUCURUUUAARUUUAUUAAAAUUUUAUUUUUAAGUAAAAAAGCUUAAAUUUGUAUAAAAGACGAGAAGACCCUAUAGAGUUUAAUUAAUUUUUAUUUUAAAAUUAUAAGAAUUUAAGUUUUUCAAAUAAAAAUUAAUUUAAUUGGGGUGAUUAAAAAAUUAAAYUAACUUUUUUUUUAUUUWNNCAUUAAUUUAUGAAAGUUUGAUCCUUAUUUAAAGAUUAUAAGAUUAAAUUACCUUAGGGAUAACAGCGUAAUUUUUUUAGAGAGUUCAAAUCGAAAAAAAAGAUUGCGACCUCGAUGUUGGAUUAAAAUAAAAUUUUGGUGUAGAAGCUAAA
Molecule: ribosomal RNA, 473 nt
Filed under: Catasarcus sp. JR-2002
Lineage: Eukaryota; Metazoa; Arthropoda; Insecta; Coleoptera; Brachyceridae
Description: partial 16S ribosomal RNA
Source: RNAcentral